AGAAAAUUUAUUUAUGCAUUAAAAGUGCUGAAUAUAAAAUAUAAAACGAACGUUUUCUGACAAUUUAAAUUUUUGAAGAAAAGAGUUUGUUUCAAAUUAUUUAGCAUGAUAUCAGAGCAAAAAAAUUUUAGUUUGAAUUACUUCUUAAGCCUACCAAAAUAUUUAAAUUUAAAUAUGUAGCUAGGGAAUAACAGUUGUUUCACAUUAUUCAACAAAAUGUUAUGUAGAUAAGUUAGAUAUGUGGAAAGUACCUAAACUUCUUAUCGAUAAAAAUUGGUCCUUGCAUUUGUCACUUAUAAGUAUAGUUUAGGAUCAAAUUAUAAUUAAGGUAAAAAAAUAUGCAGAAUUUACUUGAAAUAUGAACCAUUUUGAGUUUGCUCUCCAAUUACCUUUCAAAGUUUUGAUUUGCUAUUUAUUUUUUUCAAUUUGUUUGAUGUGAGCCGGUCAACGGCACUUUAACUUUGAAAUUUGAAUGCAUCUUUAAAUAUCUUUACAGAUUUAGUUAAUAUAUUUUAUGUAAUUUUCAUAAGUAUAAGUUUAUUAAAGUAAGUUAUAUAUUAAUCAGCUUAAAUUUUUAAAGUCAAAAUACUAUUAACUGAUUCAAAUUAAAUAAAUUAAAGAUUGAAUAGUAAUAUAAAAAUUUUGAAAGAUUAACUAGUCGACUAUAAAAAUAAUCUAUAGUUUAUGUAAGUUAAGUGUAAUUUUAUU
RNAcentral lists this long non-coding RNA (708 nucleotides) under Ananas comosus (pineapple). RNAcentral's name for it is "long non-coding RNA (ACOM_LNC002827)". Lineage: Eukaryota; Viridiplantae; Streptophyta; Magnoliopsida; Poales; Bromeliaceae. The record is from RNAcentral.